RNAcentral lists this ribosomal RNA (333 nucleotides) under uncultured Limnofilidae. RNAcentral describes it as "bacterial SSU rRNA". The stretch from base 125 to 333 matches the Rfam family "Eukaryotic small subunit ribosomal RNA", at positions 748 to 955 of the family's 1831-position model. Lineage: Eukaryota; Cercozoa; Limnofilidae. RNAcentral also lists the same sequence under 1 other name. The record is from RNAcentral.
GAUUUCUGGCCUUUGUGCGCGCGACCCGCCUCCGUUUCAUCGGCAGGUGUGUGUCGCUGUGCGCGGGUCAUCCUCGCGGUCGCCGGCGUCGUCCUUCAUUGGGCGGCGCGUCGGGUGCUCCGCGUCUUUUACUUUGAAAAAAUUAGAGUGUUCAAAGCAGGCUUGCACGCUGUGAAUACAUUAGCAUGGAAUAAUAAGCUAGGACUUCCGUCCGAUGUUUGUUGGUUUCCCGGUUGGAAGUAAUGAUUGAUAGGGAUAGUUGGGGGUGCUCGUAUUCAGUGGCCAGAGGUGAAAUUCUUGGAUUCACUGAAGACGAACUUAUGCGAAAGCAUU